RNAcentral lists this ribosomal RNA (610 nucleotides) under Staphylococcus aureus. RNAcentral describes it as "partial 23S ribosomal RNA". It matches the Rfam family "Bacterial large subunit ribosomal RNA", at positions 444 to 1056 of the family's 2925-position model. Lineage: Bacteria; Bacillati; Bacillota; Bacilli; Caryophanales; Staphylococcaceae. The record is from RNAcentral.
CUGGGAGGACCAUCUCCUAAGGCUAAAUACUCUCUAGUGACCGAUAGUGAACCAGUACCGUGAGGGAAAGGUGAAAAGCACCCCGGAAGGGGAGUGAAAUAGAACCUGAAACCGUGUGCUUACAAGUAGUCAGAGCCCGUUAAUGGGUGAUGGCGUGCCUUUUGUAGAAUGAACCGGCGAGUUACGAUUUGAUGCAAGGUUAAGCAGUAAAUGUGGAGCCGUAGCGAAAGCGAGUCUGAAUAGGGCGUUUAGUAUUUGGUCGUAGACCCGAAACCAGGUGAUCUACCCUUGGUCAGGUUGAAGUUCAGGUAACACUGAAUGGAGGACCGAACCGACUUACGUUGAAAAGUGAGCGGAUGAACUGAGGGUAGCGGAGAAAUUCCAAUCGAACCUGGAGAUAGCUGGUUCUCUCCGAAAUAGCUUUAGGGCUAGCCUCAAGUGAUGAUUAUUGGAGGUAGAGCACUGUUUGGACGAGGGGCCCCUCUCGGGUUACCGAAUUCAGACAAACUCCGAAUGCCAAUUAAUUUAACUUGGGAGUCAGAACAUGGGUGAUAAGGUCCGUGUUCGAAAGGGAAACAGCCCAGACCACCAGCUAAGGUCCCAAAAUAUA